Molecule: non-coding RNA, 25 nt
Filed under: Arabidopsis thaliana (thale cress)
Lineage: Eukaryota; Viridiplantae; Streptophyta; Magnoliopsida; Brassicales; Brassicaceae
Also listed under: 2 other names
Source: RNAcentral
GUGCUUGGGCGAGAGUAGUACUAGG